RNAcentral lists this long non-coding RNA (231 nucleotides) under Mytilus galloprovincialis (Mediterranean mussel). The record is from RNAcentral. Lineage: Eukaryota; Metazoa; Mollusca; Bivalvia; Mytilida; Mytilidae.
GGACAAUUCCGUUUAAGGAACUUGCACGACUUUUGCAAUAUAAUAUUGUUGUAAUAUACUUUGCAUGGUACUUAUGACGCAUCAGAGAAAAAUUAAGCAACAAAAAGUCUUUUUAAUUGCCGUUUGAUACAAUGUAAACAAACCCACCAGCACAGAAUCAGGACCCACCAGCACCUGACAGGACCAAAUCACCAGCACAGAACGUUCUCUCGCAGGACAACCAUACCCACC